RNAcentral lists this ribosomal RNA (459 nucleotides) under Mogibacterium timidum. RNAcentral describes it as "bacterial SSU rRNA". It matches the Rfam family "Bacterial small subunit ribosomal RNA", at positions 28 to 486 of the family's 1533-position model. Lineage: Bacteria; Bacillati; Bacillota; Clostridia; Peptostreptococcales; Anaerovoracaceae. The record is from RNAcentral.
GAUGAACGCGGCGGCGUGCCUAAUACAUGCAAGUCGAGCGAGAAGCUUGGAAAUGACGCUUCGGUUGAUUUUCCAAGCGGACAGCGGCGGACGGGUGAGUAACGCGUAGGCAACCUGCCCCUGACAGAGGGAUAGCCAUUGGAAACGAUGAUUAAAACCUCAUGACACCGUAGUAGCACAUGCUACAUCGGUCAAAGAUUUAUCGGUCAGGGAUGGGCCUGCGUCUGAUUAACUGGUUGGUGAGGUAACGGCUCACCAAGGUGACGAUCAGUAGCCGACCUGAGAGGGUGAUCGGCCACAUUGGAACUGAGACACGGUCCAAACUUUUACGGAAGGCAGCAGUAGGGAAUCUUGCACAAUGGGCGAAAGCCUGAUGCAGCAACGCCGCGUGAAGGAUGAAGGCCUUCGGGUUGUAAACUUCUGUUCUAAGGGAAGAAAGAAAUGACGGUACCUAGGAGC